GAACGCUGGCGGCAGGCCUUAUACAUGCAAGUCGAGCGCAUCCUUCGGGAUGAGCGGCGGACGGGUGAGUAACGCGUGGGAAUGUGCCCUUCUCUACGGAAUAGCCACUGGAAACGGUGAGUAAUACCGUAUACGCCCUCAGGGGGAAGGAUUUAUCGGAGAAGGAUCAGCCCGCGUUAGAUUAGGUAGUUGGUGGGGUAACGGCCUACCAAGCCUACGAUCUAUAGCUGGUUUUAGAGGAUGAUCAGCCACACUGGGACUGA
RNAcentral lists this ribosomal RNA (263 nucleotides) under uncultured Paracoccaceae bacterium. Its description in RNAcentral is "uncultured Rhodobacteraceae bacterium partial 16S ribosomal RNA". It matches the Rfam family "Bacterial small subunit ribosomal RNA", at positions 31 to 322 of the family's 1533-position model. The record is from RNAcentral. Lineage: Bacteria; Pseudomonadati; Pseudomonadota; Alphaproteobacteria; Rhodobacterales; Paracoccaceae.